CUUGUGCAAGCCUUGACAUGGAUUGUGACAGAAUCGGGCCCAAUAUGAACUUCACGUGGAAGAAUCGAUUUCAAAACCUGUGUAAAAGGUAAUGUGAAUGGCCCCUGUGUGUGUAUAGGGCUAUAUGUUAGUAAAAAUCCAGAUACACUCCAGUUCAUUUUAAAUUCACUGGGAAGUAUUUCAGUGCUACAAACAAAUGAACCUACACACUAUCUGCUUGCACCAAGUAUAUUGUGCAUUUUAGUUGGCCAAUAAAGGUAUCGCUGUUUGGUGGAUUUUUGUUUGAAUUUGCUAAAUGGCCAACACAGCUACCCUGCAUGUUUUCUACACACUGUCUGUCACUUUUGGUACAAUCUGUAUUGGUUCAGGUUGAUUCAGUAUGGUUACAUUUAUGUUAUAUACCCUGUUUUGUGUUGCUGUUGAACUUAUUCUAUUAACAGAUUUCUCCUCUUCCUCCCAUUUUCUCAGUAUGUGCCAUCAUGAUACUUCACAAAACAGAGUCAAUCUCCCGCCAUUUCAGUUAUCCCCUCCCUUUCCAUAGAAACAUAAUUGAUAAUGACUGCGAAACAGCAAGUUAAGAAUUGAAAGAGCUCUGGGAGAUUAUCUGUAAUUAACUUUAUCAAGCUUUGAGCAAGAGAUUUUGCAAUGAAUUUGCACUAAACAGACAGGAAAGCAAAAGCUCACAUAUAAAGUUUUGUAUAUGGCAAGUGGUGUUUGUAUGAUCAGUAGAAGAGCUGUAUGCAUGCAGAUCAAACAAGCGAGCUGUGUUAUGGUUUCUCUUUCUUUGUGUCUGAUGGAAUAGAGACUGUGGCUUUUUGCUUUCAUGUAUUUUUAUAUACAGUGUUACAGAUAUUUCCAGCCUGCAUUUGGAUUGUCUUCAAGUUCUGUUAAUCAUGUUUCAGUGGAGAUAGGCUUCCAACUUUAGGCCAAGAUCCAGAGAACCACAGGCUAUUUCUUUGCACCCAAGGAAGUUUCAUACACACACACACACACACACACACACACAUUGGAAAAGUUGAUGUGCUUUUGCAGUUAUGCAAAGUGCUUUUGAAACUGAAGCAUUUUCAAAAGCAGUAUGUGACAUGUCAUGGGGAUAGACUGUUCAAAUGAAAGAAGCAAAAUUUUCUGAUGAAAAUGCACUAGCCUUUGGAUUAAUCUAAACAACUAUUUGAAUUCUGGCUUUAGAUCUAAAAGAGAAUGUGGCUUCUACUUCCUGGGCAGUUAAAUGUAUCCUUGUCUUUUUAAUAACAUGAUACAGUUCUAUUUGCUUUCUUUCAUGCAACAGCUCAAUUAUUACUAUUUCGUAAAGGAGCUUGGAAUUAUAGAAAUAGCUGUUGCUUUGGCAAAGAUGCAGGUGUUUAGUGUCACACAUUCAUAAUAGCACAGCUUGCAUUACAUUCUGCAUCUUAGAGUCAUUAUUAUUUAGCUUCACAGCAUGCUUAUUCUUGGCAGGAAGCAUACUUUGCAAGUGCAUAAAUUAUCAUGUUAAACCAAACUAUGGCUUGUGAUUGUCAUAGUUUAGGACCAAGCCAUGGUUUGAACUUUGGAAUAUACAAGUCAAUCAUGGUUCAGAGCUGCUUUGUUGGCUUCUGUUUUCUGUCAGCUUAGCACUAAGUAUGAUUUGUCAGUUAAGUGAAGUAUCCUGCCAAGUUGUUCUUUGGAAACCCACUUCAGACUAUGGUUUCUGAUUCUGGCUUGCUGACCAAUUGCAAAUAAUAGCUUUAUCUGUUGAGACUAAACCAUGGUAAAGCUCAUUAAACUUGGUUUGCUUUAAUGCCUAAAGCUUAUAUGCAAAGAGGAAGUGUUAGCCUUCAUCCUGGAUUUUCUGAAAGUGAAGAUUGUGAGGGCACCUUUUUCUUGGGAUUUUUAUCUUGCUGGAAAUUUGGUUCCUUGUGGAGGCAUUGAGUACUAGAUGUGUUGAUUUCCUUGUAAACUAUUUAAUUGAAUCAUAGAAUCAUAGACUCAUAGAUUUGGAAGAGUCCACAAGGGCCAUCCAGUUGUCCCCCCUGCCAUGCAGGAAUGGUUAUGUCAAUAGUUCUUUUUAAAGUGUAAUUAAUAAUUAACAAACUCAUUUUAUUAUGCUGUGUUCUGCUUUGUGUGACACACGGCUAACAGAGAAUGAAGUAUAGAAAUCUUAAAAUCCAUUAAAGUUAGUUGAAUCUUUGUCCAACAUAAUAUGAAGUAGGGUAGAAUGAUACCUCUAAAUUAUUUAUGACCCAUAUCAUGAUCUGUUUAUAGAAUUGCAUUUCAGGUUACACUUAACUCUGAAAUUGUGCUGACGUUCAUUAUAAAUACUGUUUUCCGUACAGCGUUCAGAACUGUGUAUAUUUAUGUAUUUUUAAUGAUUUGAAUUUUCAAGAAAAGUUGUCAUGUAAUUUCAAACUGACUAUGGCACUUUUAAAGUUAGUAAAGUAAUAGAGGAAAAUCUUUCACUUUUAAUUACAUGCUUUUUAGGAAAGUCAACCACGAAAAUGAUGUAAAGGUUAACUGUCAAUGUGUGGCGUUGUGCCAUAUCUUUCGAGUAUUGAAAAUAACCUAAAUUGUUACAGAGAGAGCAAGAGAUCUUGUUAAAUAACAAUAUUUGACAGGAGUGCAUUUUAAAAUGCCAGCUUUAAACAAUGAACUUCUCCAAAUCUCCUUUUUCUUUUCUUUUUUAUAUGUGAUAUUUUAAUGCAUCAGUAAUGUGUUGAACAUCUCCAGUUAUGAAAGCGAACUCUUCAGCAAAUAAUUAUUUCUUUAUUGGGUUUUGCCUUUAAAAAAUGACACUGAAGGUGACUCAUAAUAACAAAUAAAAGAAGAAUACAAUUUCUUUUUUGAAAAUGCAAGAGCAACUGUUAAUAUAAAUUAAGCAUAAUUAAAAUACAACACUAGGUUGGUAACAAGCCUCUUCCUCAACAGGCAGUGAAUUGUCAAAGUCCUGCCCAAAUAGAAGGAGCUUUAUUUGCCAAUGGAAGACCAACAUGGAGAGGGCUAGCCUCGUCUCCUCUAGUACUGAGUUUUAGAGUGACUUUGUGAGAUCCACCUGUCCCACCACUGCCACCAGAUGGGAACGGAAGUCUGCAGAUGGAAGUUUGAUAUUUGCAAAUCUUGUUGUUGGAGAAGAAGGCUCUGUGUUGUCCUGAUGGUGGUAGGAGCAAAAAAAGGAGGGCACCAGUUGAAGACCAAAUCCAGAAUGUGCUUACUGAGAAAGAAAAUCUGUGUAUGUUUGAGGUAGACAUGGAAAAGAAGAGUCUUUAACAACAACAACAACAACAACAACAACAACAGCAACAACAACAGCCCCACCUUCCAUCUGCUGGAAUGAAGCUGUCUGACUGGGUUUAAGUUUAGUAGUUCAUACAGCUCUGAUUCUGCUUCUUCUACCUCCAUAGGAUUGCUUUCCUCACAGUUUUUCAGGCUUUGAACAACAUUUUCCUCAAACUCUCCCUAAUUUGUAACUUUUCUAUAGUAGUAGAAAUAUGCAGAGUUGCUAAUGGAAUGGGUCUAUUUUGUUGCCUCCUAAAACAGAUACUGUAUACAUUUUUAUUUCCAAACAUAUACACAACAAAUUUAUAUUUUAAAAAUGCCUCAGUUUCUCUUGUGCCACUGACUGGCAUAAGGUGAAACCUUGUGGAUUGAACUUUAAUCUUAAAUUGUGGAUUAAGCUUUAAUCUUAAAAUAAAAUACUGUGCACCCUAUUAAAGUGAGGCUGCUUUCUGGUACUGUGAAGUGCAGAAUGAAGAUCAAAAUAAUGGUUCGUUUUAUGCUGAACUACAGAAAAUGCAGAAAAUCUGCAAUCAAAGCAGUUUUUUUUCUGUGUGUACUUAUUAAAAAUAAAUAUAUUUGGAUAUCAGUUUUGCUAAAUGUUCUUUCCCCAUUCCCCACAAGCCCUCUCUGUUGGCUAGCUACAGCUAUUACACUUGGCAGGAAAAGUACCAUAGUCUCUUGAUUCAGUAAUGUAAUAGUUCACUUACAGAUUCUAACUGAAAUGAAAAAAAAAAAGCUACAUAGGAAGGAAAAAGUACAUAAUGAGCUUGCAGUAGGAAAUAGUCAUUGCAGGUUUAAUCUCAGAUUUUUGUAGCAAAACUGCCACCUUUAACAUUUUAUUUAACUCUGUUAGCACCUUGCUUCUCCUGAUCCUGAGGGGGAGACUGAUUAAGCUUUUCUAUUUAUAUGCUUUUUAAAAUCCUUAGGAGUGAGAAGGAAUGUAAUAAACAUGAGUAAAUUAUUUACAUGGGAAUAACAUUUACAAUAUGGUUGGUAUAACUUGGGAUGGGUUGCUUAGUUUCCAGCAGGUAAUUUAUGAACCACAAUUUAUAAUAAAAGUAGUUCUGCUAUGACUACCACAUGUAAAGAUUUAUUCACAUUAGUUUGCUGUGUAUCUUAAUAUUUGUCUCUCCAAACUCUGACUGGUUAAUAAAGCAAAUACAAUAUUUAUGAAUUCCAAA
This is a long non-coding RNA of Sceloporus undulatus (fence lizard), 4427 nucleotides long. RefSeq lists it as uncharacterized. NCBI's taxonomy places the organism in Eukaryota, Metazoa, Chordata, Lepidosauria, Squamata, Phrynosomatidae. The record is from RefSeq and is a predicted model, not a curated record. The transcript has 2 exons.